AUGCAGAAGAUAUAUGUAGAUGAAUAUCUUUUUUUGGAACGUCUUGGUUCUGAGGUGACCAAUGAAGAGAUCAGAUAUCGGGCUUCUUUUCGAGGUCAAACGCUAACUCGAACCGUUCGCGGAAUGAUGUAUUACAGAACAGAAUUGAGACUACAAGCUUUCUUAGACAGGACAAAUGGCCAAGGAUUAUAUGAAGGACUUAUAGCGAUCGAUGGAGGACAAAAUAAGAGCAAUGACGACCAGUCAUUGUCAGCUGAAUAAGACGCGCUUGCAGAUAUGAAAUUUUCAUAAGUCAUCUUAUGUCAAAGUUGGGAACACAAAUCUAAUGAUAACCCUCGUGCUCAAGGCAUUAUAAAUUUGAUGUCAAGACUCCCUGUCUAGUGUGUUGCCUACAAUGAAGAGAAGGAAAUUAUAACAGGAAACAUAAUUCAUACAACUUAUUCCUUAGCCUUAAUAAAAGCAGAAAAUUAUUUAGACCAGGAGACUUGCCGUAUAAAUCUGCCUGACCCAUCCAUUAUUGGAGAAGAGAAGCCUAAAAAUCAAAGCCUUGCGGUCGGAUUUACCCGAGGAGAGGCCCUUCAAACCAUUAAUUGCUAUCAAGAAAAUUAUCUGCAAAGAGCUUACGAAAUGAGAAAUAUCCUCGAAGAGUUUGUUAAGCACCCUAGAGAUCAAUCUCCAACAAUCCUUGGGCUUGGAGAACAUAUCUUCACUUGAAGUAUUUCAUUAGUUGUCGGAUUCAUAUCAUACCAAGAAACAUCAUUUGUUACCAUUGGAUAGAGAUUCCUCGCUAAUCCCUUGAGGGUAUAAUUUCACUAUGAUCAUCCGGAUAUAUUUGAUUGGGUAUUUUUUACAGAAGGUUGUAUAAGCAAAACCUCUAAAAUAAUAAACUUAAGUGAGGAUGUAUUUUCUCGUUAUAAUUCCAUAUCGCGUUGCGGAAAUAUAACUUAUAAUGAGUGCAUUCAAGGUGGCAAAGGGCGUGAUGUUGGCCUUAAUUAGAUAUUAAUAUUUGAAGCCAAAGUUGCACAUGGCGAUGGUGAACAUACAAUUAGCCGUGAAAUAUAGAUGUUAAGGCAAGGAUUUUACCUUCCCCGGAUGCUUUCAUUUUAUUUCAUCAUAGUGGGGUUCAACUUCAACAACCUAGUAUGUUCUCUCCCUCCCUCCUUCUCUUGUCCAUUGCAUUGUAACUCCACAUUAGUCAAAUCCAAUCUUUUAUGUGGAUUAGUAUAUCACCAACGACGAGUCAUAUUAUUCUAA
This 1254-nucleotide ribosomal RNA is filed under the name Triticum aestivum (bread wheat). RNAcentral describes it as "partial small subunit ribosomal RNA". Lineage: Eukaryota; Viridiplantae; Streptophyta; Magnoliopsida; Poales; Poaceae. The record is from RNAcentral.